CAGCACCUCAAGUGGUCAGGAUGAUUAUUGGGCCUAAAGCAUCCGUAGCCGGCGCUGUAAGUUUUCGGUUAAAUCUGUACGCUCAACGUACAGGCUGCCGGGAAUACUGCAGCGCUAGGGAGUGGGAGAGGUAGACGGUACUCGGUAGGAAGGGGUAAAAUCCUUUGAUCUAUUGAUGACCACCUGUGGCGAAGGCGGUCUACCUGAACACGUCCGACGGUGAGGGAUGAAAGCUGGGGGAGCAAACCGGAUUAGAUACCCGAGUAGUCC
Molecule: ribosomal RNA, 270 nt
Filed under: uncultured archaeon
Lineage: Archaea
Description: partial 16S ribosomal RNA
Rfam family: Archaeal small subunit ribosomal RNA
Source: RNAcentral